This is a long non-coding RNA of Dermacentor albipictus, 1278 nucleotides long. RefSeq lists it as uncharacterized. NCBI's taxonomy places the organism in Eukaryota, Metazoa, Arthropoda, Arachnida, Ixodida, Ixodidae. The record is from RefSeq and is a predicted model, not a curated record.
AUACGCGUGGAGGCCGCCACGUCGGAAAUUGACGGAGAAUUGGUGAGGAUGCGGGACUUGGGCACUGGAAGACUUCGCGCGCUGUUUUCAAGCUCUCGCUUGUUCGCCGUCUGACGGGAGGGGCUCGGAGCACCGGAGACGUGCUGGGGACCGGCGAAAGUGACUGAUCGCAUGCUGCAGACUUCGAAACGGUAUGAAUAUGCGUGCCUUUGGGAACCCGCAGUUUAGGCGGGAACUCUGGGAGGGAACCUAUGGCGGCAACUUUUGGCGGGAAACGGACUCUCCGCACCAUGGACAUUCAGAAAUGGACAGUGCGCGUCGUUUGCCAGUACCGAACUGUUUGCUGGAUACUGUGGAACACUUGGCAAUACCUCGGAAUGACGAAAAAGACUGACUGCAAGAACUCGCUCCAAGCGGCGAAAGGCAGGAACGGUUGGCUCCCGGUGCAGUUCUCGAAAAUCAAAAGGUGAACCUGACCUAUGGGUCAAAUUCGAUGCUACGAGAUGUGGUGCUUGGCUUGGACGGCAACCGGACAUCUCUGCAACACAUAUCUUCAACUGUGUGGCAAGUGGAGCCGAAUGGACAACUUCAAAUGAGCAUGACUGAACAACGCGGAUAAAGAACUGGCUUCUAGCUACCAGCUUCAUCGCAUCCCAUCGCAGAGUGAGUGUGCGAGGUCAGUAGCCUCGUGGCGAGGGUGAAAUGCGUUCAAGGAACCGCUUGAAUACAUAAUAUUGGCAUUAGCUGAAGCUUGACAUGGCCAAUAACUGAAAGCAGCUAGACAUUCCAUACCAGAUUAUCAACAGUGCACAGUAGUGUACAAUUCGGCCUCAGGUUCCUUGGAGCAUCACCACUAGAGGUCUUGUCAGUGACGGAAACGUGAGGAGCUACGUUGCGUAUUAGUUUCAGGUUGAGCGCACCUCGGGCAGCGAUAGCAGAUAGGGUUUGCACCUUACGUUUGCGUUACGGACAGCGGCCUGUUCCGAAUGCACUUGCAACCAAGUCCUUUUAUCGUGUCAAGGAAUGCCCGCGCGCGAAAAGUGCUCUUGAUCGAUAAAUUGACCCUAGUCGCAAAAGGCAUUCGGAAUUCUCGCCCACCACAUCUAGCAACCCCGAAGAAAGGACGUUGCCUACGGUCUGCGACACAUCGCACUUCCGUUGCAGCAAAGGUACUGUGACUGACCAUUUACCGACAAAUGCUGUAAUUAUGAAUAACAACGGGGAUUUCGGCUCAUGGACUGUUUACUUGGCUGCAACCUCUGUGGGAUAUAAGACGUU